AUGCGAUGCCAUCGCGGUAUUUCCGCUUCGAACUAGGUCAGGGCCGGAAGGCAGCAGCCUUAAGAGGCGGCGGUGCGUGCGGUGGUUUUUUCGUGCUUG
This 99-nucleotide signal recognition particle RNA is filed under the name Bacillota bacterium. RNAcentral's name for it is "signal recognition particle sRNA small type". It matches the Rfam family "Bacterial small signal recognition particle RNA". Rfam says of the family: The signal recognition particle (SRP) is a universally conserved ribonucleoprotein involved in the co-translational targeting of proteins to membranes. Archaeal SRP consists of a 7S RNA and homologues of the eukaryotic SRP19 and SRP54 proteins. In most bacteria, the SRP consists of a 4.5S RNA and the Ffh protein (a homologue of the eukaryotic SRP54 protein). The record is from RNAcentral. Lineage: Bacteria; Bacillati; Bacillota.